GGGGGGCUCAGCCGAUACCGAGUCUCAACGUCACACGAACUCGGUUCGUUCUUUCCUGUACCACUAGUAUUUUUUUCGUGUUUCUGCGCCCCCCACAGCCUCCACACGCUUUCCCCCAAAUCGCCGCCGCCAUGGAGAAGGAGAAGAAGCUGUCCUUCUCCAUCCCUUCCAAGCUCAGGCCGCCCAAGCCGCCCCGCCCCGCCGCCGGCGCUGAUUCCUCCGCCGCCAGCGGCAACUCCGCUUCCGCGGCCGCUGCCCCCGCCCAGCAAUUCGUCACCGAGUUCGAUCCGUCGCAAACCCUAGCCGCCGGCGCCGCGUCCGCCGUCAUCGCGCCCCUCCCCAACUCCGGCCACUUCCUCAACCACCGCUCCCGCAAACCCUCCUCCCUCCCGACCCCCGAGGAGGAGGCCGCGCUUGCCGCCUCCACCGCCGGUGGCCCCACAUUCGUGCUCGACACCUCCGAGGCCCCCGACAACCCCUCCUCCCACAUAGGCUAUGGCCUCACCCGACGCGGCGCCGACGCCGACGCUGAGGCUGACGCCACGGAGCCGGGUAAGACGCAGUCUUCCAAGGAAUCAGAGAAGAAGUCGACCUCUCCAGCCAGAGAUGGCGGCUCCAGCGGUGACCUUAUGCUGCGACGGUACAAGGAAGACAUGGCCAGCCUCCCGGACCACCGUGGUAUAGACGAGUUUGAGGAGGUGCCUGUGGAGGGCUUCGGUGCUGCUCUCCUUGCUGGUUACGGCUGGUCGGAAGGCAAAGGGCUCGGCCGCAAUAACAAGGAAGAUACCAAGGUUGUUGAGUAUAACCGCCGUGCCGGUACGCUGGGAUUAGGCUACGACCCUUCUGAGGCAGAUCCUAAGAAGACUCGCUCCGGCGACUGGGUUAUUGGUGGAAAGAAGCCGACAGAGAAUGGUGGAAAGAAGUCCGCCGAGAAUGGAAAUGCAAAGAAGAGAGAUAGGGACAAGGAAGACAGAGUCCGGGAGAGGGAUUCAAGUUCCCGACAGAAGAGAUCUGGUGAUCUUAGGGCCGAGAGGGAGGUUCGAGAGAAAGAGAGAAAAUCUCGGGAUAGUCGAGAAGAAAAGAGUAGCCGCGAUGUUGGUAACAAAGUGCGCUGGUUACAGAGCAAUAUUAGGGUUAGAGUGGUUAAUGAGAGGUUCAGCAGAAGGUUGUACCUGCAGAAGGCAAAAAUUGUUGAUGUGGUUGGACCAACGACAUGUGACAUAAUGAUGGAUGAUGGGUCAGAGCUUGUGCAGGGGGUGGAGCAGGAUAUGCUUGAAACAGUCCUGCCACGGACAAACGGGCAAGUGCUUGUGCUCUGUGGGAAGCACAAGGGGGUGUAUGGGCAUCUGGUAGAGAAGAAUUCAGAGGCAGAGACUGCAGUAGUGGAGGAUGCCGAUACAAAAGACAUGGUGCGUGUGAAAUAUGAUCAGAUUGCAGAGUACGUUGGGGACCCAGAAUUGCUUGGGCAUUGAUUAUUUCUUCUUGAGGAGGGGACAUCUGUUUUCCAGGAGCUCUUCUAAUGUGCGGUUGAUGACUUUUCUCCUAUAGUGCCUACUGCUGAAGAUCACAAUGGAAAUACAGAGCACCUGACAAACAAGUUUCCAGACGACAGGCUUGGCGACCGAUAUUUACAGGUGCUCUGCUUUUAUGUAUGAUGUGACAUAUGAUGCCCUGUUUCCAGUUUGUGCAUAGCACUGUUUCAAUCAGUCUCAAUUCCAACACAAUUUACAUGCCAACCUAUUCUAUGUGAGGAGUCUUGAUCAUCUUCGGAGUGGUAGCUUUGUUCUUUGUGGUAUCAUCACUUUGUGCAUGCGAUGAUCUGAUGGCGGCUGUGGUUAGAGGUGUUGCGCAGUAUGCAAAUAUCACUUUGGUCUACCAGUCAAGAUGUGAGAUGACAUGGUUCACUGAUACUCAGGUUGAGAAACAAUUUUCUUUCCAGCAUGGUAGUUGGGAAAACAAACUGGACUCUGUAAAUCAGGGACAUGAUACACAUUUGCUUUGGUCCUAAGCUUCAGUGUGUAAAAAAUUACCAGUGUUGCAAAAUUGUAAACUCUUGUAUCGAUGUAUAACCGGAUGGUUAGCUGAAUGGAUAUCAAUUGAAGUCACUUGGGCUCAAUUGUGUUGAAACUGCUGGAACUCAGAGAGCCUGGGAUAUCCAGAGAAUGCAAGCAAAGCACGGCCCAUGCACAGUACCUGUAUGGGCCGUGCAUGGGCGGACAUUUCGGCGCCCUAACCUGCCUCUUGCUGAAAGCAUUUCGGAGACAUGUACUUUUACUCCAUUUUUUCUGUUUUGCUGCAUUUCUUCAUUUAUUAAGUGAUCUGGUCCUUCCACGGAAGGAAUCAUUUUGUAAAAUAGUCAUCUCUCCACCGAGAGCGAUGUAUGUCAACUCCAAUUAUAUGUACCUGCACGGCAUAAUUCUUAUGGUUGGACUUGGAUGCUUCCAAGCUAAUCAUUUGGGAAUUUCUCGCUCAACGCACUUCAUAAUCAUUUUGAUGAUCA
Molecule: ribosomal RNA, 2500 nt
Filed under: Triticum aestivum (bread wheat)
Lineage: Eukaryota; Viridiplantae; Streptophyta; Magnoliopsida; Poales; Poaceae
Description: partial small subunit ribosomal RNA
Source: RNAcentral